Molecule: long non-coding RNA, 5360 nt
Organism: Gallus gallus (chicken)
Lineage: Eukaryota; Metazoa; Chordata; Aves; Galliformes; Phasianidae
Source: Ensembl
AGUAAGGUUUUUUAUGAUCCCAAUUUUUAUGAACAUCAACAGGACUUAAAUGAUUUUCAGACUCACACUUUCUGUAACUGAAAUCAGUAUUGUCAUGCCUUCCCUCUUUCUUCUCUGACCUGCUGCUAAGAUGUAAACUUCCUGGACUAGGAUCAGGACUGCUCCUUAUUAUUGCUAUUAAUAACACAUAAGACAUUGUAACGACAUCUUCUGUGGUUGGACUUGAUGAUCUUGAAGGUCUUUUCCAACCUGAGCAAUUCUAUGGUUAAGAACCCACUCAUAGCCACAGGUCUGAGAGGUCUCAGGAAUUAAAUUAUGAAUUUAUGCAAGAACCUUUACUUUAAAAUCACUAACAGCCCUGAGCCAAGAUGAACAUGGUACAUAUCGAAACUGUGCUUGCUAAAAUCUGUAGCUUCUGAUACAGCAAGGAAAAAGCGUUUUAUAGACUUGCAGCCAGGCUGGGUAUAUAGCAGCAGAGUAACAUGGCUUCUCUGUGCUGCAUCUUGUAGCAGUGACUGACAUUUAAUAUUGCACUGUUCAUUAAGCAUAAGGUACCAGAGGCGGAUCUCAUAAAAAGAAGUAAUAAGGAUGUAUUUGUCAUCCACGGUUCAAAUGCCUGUAAUUGAAAAAUCUCAGGUGUUGCCUGCACCUUCCAUAUAUACUUUCAAGAUACUAUUUUAAAUUUCUGAAUUCUAUACAAUCUAAUUCUAGUUUCAAAUAUUGGAUUGGGCUGCUCAAGGAAAUGGUGGAGUCCCCAUCCCUGACGUGUGGAUGUGGCUCUAAGAGAUAUGGUUUAGUGACAGGACUCAAUAGGUCAGGUUGAUGGUGGGAACUGAUCUUGAAAUUCUUUUCCGACCUAAAUGAUUCUGUGAUUCCAUGAACUGGUAUUAAAACUCUUUAGAGCAGCAUUUCCUCCCUUCUCUCGGGGAUUUGGACCCCAAAUCAAGGUUUCUAUGUAUCAUAGAACAAAGGUUUGUGGGAUUUUUUGCUUGCUAGAUGAUAAAAAAUCUCAGCUUCUUGGAGAUCUCACAGCCUUCAGAAGGCUCGUGAUCAGUUUAGUUGAGGAUGCUGCCAAUAACAGUUCAUAAAAGUGGGCAACAGACGAGGGGGUGAAGUCUGUCCUUGCUUAUUUGUUUAUUUUUUCAUGGUAGAGAUUUUUGUUUCUGUAAGUCCCUAAAUCAAUUUUAGUUUCUGUUAUCAGUUGCAUAAGCCAUAAGUACUUUUCUUCUGGACUCCUGGACCUGAUGGUUUGCAGUCACAGUGCUGGAUGGACAGUUACUUGCUGCAGGAUCUUCCAGGAUUAAAAUCACAUCUUACAAGGCUAAGAACUCCAAAGGCUAUGGUGAGGAACUGGUAGCUUUAUCUCAAUGUAGACUGCGAUGGCUUUGUGUGCCUUUGAAAUUGCCACGCUCUUCAAAGAAAAAGGAAGUGCUUUAAGUGUUUUUCCUUCUCCUUCAGCCAGGAGCCGCGUUUUGGAAUGAAGCUCAAGUUUGAGUAAAGGAAGUGUUCAAAAUUUUAAAAUGUUGUGAUAAAUACUGCAUGACAUCGGUGUAAAACAGGUGCCCGCUGUACACAGGACUGUGCUUUGCUUUGUGUCAGAUCUCUUGAACAUCAGAAGUUUCAGAUCGUUCUGGAAUCGGUUUUAUAAAUGAGGGCUGGACGACUCAAAAGUGCAAAGCAUAAUGGCAAUAGAAAACUGCAUCUCAGGAGCUGAACUUACGUCUUUUUUCUUUCUCACCCCCUCAUUUUUAUCUACAUUUAUCAUUAUUACCUGCAUAGAGCAAUAACGUUUUGAAGAAAUGCCUGAUUUUUGAUGCCUCAGUUAUUUGAUGUCUUUUUUCAAGACAUUUUACAUUUCAGAGAGUGAGUCAGACACUUUAAACAUCCAGACUGGCUGCUUAUACCUUUUCUGAGCUGUAUUUUUUGUCUCUGGAUACAAAGUAAAUUCCUUUAAUGGAUUUAUUAUCAAGAAGAUUCAAAAAAGCAUUAGCUUCACUCUUCUACUCUCUUGACUGCAGUUUAGCAUCUCACUCUGUGGAGGGUUUGAAAGGCAUGGAAAAUAUAAAAGGACUCUGUGCCACAAUUAGGAAACGUGGAUUUCUCCCUCGCAGAAACUUCUGCUGUGGACUCUUCUCCAUCUUGUGUCUGAUGCAAAGGCUUAUGCCUGCCCUGUGAGCUACUGCUGGAGGAUUAAGGGAGGACUGAGAUCCCCCAUUGACACCUUUAGAGCUUGAGACCAGUGAACUCUUCCUGUCUUUCAUAAACUAUGCUCUGUGUGACUUCUGAAGGUGCUCUGGAUACAAAUUGAAACUGAGCUAAUUUGGAUUACCAUUACUGCAGUGUCUAUUAGACAUCAGGCAACGCAGUCUCUGCUAUUCAAAGGCGAAGUGCUACGCCUCAGUGUCUCCCCUCAAAUCACCUCUGUAGACCAAAGCUACACAUCUGUCCUUCUGCCAAGUCUACGAAGCUCAUAGUUUCAGAAAACCGAUGCGCUCCCAUCCACUGAAAGGAAAACUGUGAGCUAAUAUCCUGUCUUCAUGCUACAAGAAUUUGUAGAUGAAAACAAAUGCACCCCUUAUCUAUAAAAUGAUUGUUUGUUCUACAGUAUUUAUGACACCUCUCCAUUGCUAUCUCUUCCUAGGUUAUGGUAAACCAAGAUGAUGCUUUAUAUUUCUGCAUCAGUCUAGCCAUGGAAAAUUAGAUUUAGUAAACAGAGAAUCUUAAUAAUCUUAAUGUCCUUCUCAAAGAGAAAUGAAUCAAAUUAUCAUAAUGAUUAAAUUACAGUUCUGUUGUUUCGUAAAAGCACAACAAUAAAUAAGUGGGGACAUUGCCAAUACUUCAGACUCCACUGAAGAUUCGCUGGCAUGCCCAUGAGUGCCUUGGCAAACUGCAGCCGUUGUCCUCUUAUCAAAAAGAAAUAUCUAUACCUUUGCACCAUAGCAAACAUACCAUGCAAUAUUAACUUCAUGCUAUAUCCACAUGAUUCAUUUAAAAGCAGUUAAACAACAAACCAAAGCAAUGUUUUUGGGUCCAGGAUGUAGAGCACCUCAUCUACAUGAGAGGAAUGAUGUGAAUUUGCAGCCCCGUAUGUGGACUGAAAAUAGCACUGAAAGAAAUCAUGGCUUGAUUCCCUUGGUUAAAAGUGGCCUCCUGCACUACACUGCUGAGCUCUUUCUUUGCUGUUGUGAAAAAUUUCCUUUUCACUGUCUGUAGCAGGAAUUAGAGGUGUAGCUUUUCAACGGCUCUUUAUUGCUGCAGAGAAUUACAAAGGAGGACAAAUCAUAGACGUUGCAAAAAUAAUGAGAAUUCAAGGCUAUUUCUGGAUUAUAGUGAUGUGAGGAUGCUUUGGUAUUUUUGUAACACUAGAAAUCUUAACAGCUCUCAAUUCCAGUUCUGGAGCAUUGAAAAGAUCUCUCUGUUUACACUCUGCUAAUCCCAGCACCAAAGCACUAGCUGCUAAUUGAUCUCCUUUUUCUAUCAAGGCCCAUACUGCAGUCCAGUAAAAGUAUUUUUGAUUCUCUGGAGGAAUAAAGUGGGGCAGGAAAGAGGCAUGGCUCUUUCAGGGAGAAAAAGAAACAAAAGGAUUGGGCAAGAAUUAAAAAUGGGAAGAAUCAGAGCAGAGGUGGAAAAAGAUAAUCAGAGAUGAUUAAUCAGACAAAAUGAGAAGAUUGAGGAGGCUGAGAAAGGGACACUCUUUUAAGAAUUGUAGUCAUUAGAAGGGAGUUUGAUGUUUUCAUGUGUUCUUUUUUUGCUAUAUUCAACACAAAUGUAGCAUAACUGAUUAGUUAUCACAUUAUCAUUAACAACACUGGGGACCAAAGAGAGGAUGAAUUAUUCAUGUAAAACCAGUACAAAUAGACACUUGAGGACAUAAUUUGUUUCCUAUCUUCCUCUAAAAGUAGCAAUUCUCUGUCUUUUUUUUUUUUCCUAUUCCUUUAAAGAAAAAAUUGGGAAGGAAAAAAGCAAAAAAGUCUAUUUUACAAUAAUCGGUGAAGUCGAUCUGAGGGAAGAAAAAAAGAACUUUACUGCUUACAAAGGAAUUUCCCAGUGUGCUGAGUUAAAUGCAUUGCUAUUUUAAAGCAUUUUAGAUAAUGUAUAUCUUUGUGACACUACAGCGGCAGCUCAGUGAAAGAGCCUCUCAGCUAACCUUGGUAAGUACCUACUGCAUUCUGGUACCCCACUUCCAGUGCAGUUGAACCAAAUAUUCCCUUUAGAACAAAUUAGAGCACAAAACAUGUCAAGCCUUCCUCUAAAAGCCUUGGAAACUUAAACAGAAAGCCUGUUAUAUCUGCGGGCUGAAUUGCCAACAAAGAUGCUCUGUGCUUUUUGGUUUGCAGAGACGAAACAUUCAGAGCACUAUUAGGUCCUUUCCUAACGCAUCGUAACAAGGAACUGAUCACUGCCACUCUUGUACAGCACCAAUUGUGAUAAAUACACAGAACUAAUUGCAAUGAAUAUGGAAUUCUGUAGGAAUCCCACCAUUUCAUUUAGUCUGAACUGAUAUAACCAGUAAUUCAGGCUUGAAUCCACAGUGGGAUCCUUUUGUGAGUAUCAGCGCAGGAGAAACAGAUCUUUCUACCAAAAACAGUUCUGCAGUACAAUAUUUACAUACAGCAGCAUUGUACAGCUUAAUGUUAAAGCUUUCUCUCUACCAUCACAUGGUAUAAGAGCUAAUUCUUUAAAACUGGUUGAUUAAAAUCUGUCUGCAGUUGUAGAAAGUAAAAUAUGUAUGAACUGAUUUAGCUCCAGUUUGCUCAAUUAUCGUAAUUUAGAAAUCAAUACAUAACAUUUCAUAACGUGUUUUAAAAGGCAAAUAAAUAUUUCAGAUUUGCCUUAGGCUUUCCUAGGAAAAAUUGCACAGAAGCUGAACUGCUGAUUUCUGAUUCCAAGAAGAAACACAUUUGAAUGAGAAAAUGAAAGCUAAACGUUGAUGGUGAAAUUAGAACGGCCAGCAUCCGCCCUGCUGCAGCCUGGGAUGGCACCCAGCUCAGGGGAGCUGAUUCCCAUUAUUUUAUGUCAUCGAUUCACAUUAUUUUAUGUCAUCUUUAUCAACCACUGUCAUCAUUUUCAUCUUAUGCACGACAGUCACUCUCUGGCUCACCUUGACCAAUGCACUUAGAUUUGCCACAUCACGCAGUUGUUGAUGUCUAGGACUGUAGGUUUAUUCCAUUGAUGGUGCUUACUUUCCCUGCUAGGGAGCAUUGAUCAGACUGACUUGGAACAAAGACUGCUUUGUGUUGUGAGCCGGGACACAACCAUUGUGUUUAAUUAGUAAGCAGUCUUUGUUUUGCACACAAUCAGAUCCUCAGCCUACUUGAGCUGCAGAGCUGCUGAUUUUUUAGCAUGUAGAUACUAUAGAA